ACUUGGUGUUACUGCGAAGGGGGGACGGAGAAGGCUAUGUUGGCCGGGCGACGGUUGUCCCGGUUUAAGCGUGUAGGCUGGUUUUCCAGGCAAAUCCGGAAAAUCAAGGCUGAGGCGUGAUGACGAGGCACUACGGUGCUGAAGCAACAAAUGCCCUGCUUCCAGGAAAAGCCUCUAAGCAUCAGGUAACAUCAAAUCGUACCCCAAACCGACACAGGUGGUCAGGUAGAGAAUACCAAGGCGCUUGAGAGAACUCGGGUGAAGGAACUAGGCAAAAUGGUGCCGUAACUUCGGGAGAAGGCACGCUGAUAUGUAGGUGAGGUCCCUCGCGGAUGGAGCUGAAAUCAGUCGAAGAUACCAGCUGGCUGCAACUGUUUAUUAAAAACACAGCACUGUGCAAACACGAAAGUGGACGUAUACGGUGUGACGCCUGCCCGGUGCCGGAAGGUUAAUUGAUGGGGUUAGCGCA
Molecule: ribosomal RNA, 469 nt
Filed under: Escherichia coli
Lineage: Bacteria; Pseudomonadati; Pseudomonadota; Gammaproteobacteria; Enterobacterales; Enterobacteriaceae
Description: partial 23S ribosomal RNA
Rfam family: Bacterial large subunit ribosomal RNA
Source: RNAcentral